Molecule: long non-coding RNA, 714 nt
Organism: Chenopodium quinoa (quinoa)
Lineage: Eukaryota; Viridiplantae; Streptophyta; Magnoliopsida; Caryophyllales; Amaranthaceae
Exons: 2
Source: RefSeq, a predicted model, not a curated record
AAUAUAGCUUUGAUGGUUUCUGGUCUUCUUUCGGUUCUUUAUUUUUCUUUUUUACUUUCUCUCUCGUCUUCUAUGUUCUCUCUAAUCCCUUGUUUGAUUUUUGUUUCACAUUAGCGAAUAGCGAUACAAGUUCAAUUCAAAUUUCUUCUCUAUACUCAUCUUUCACCUAAUUGAUCCAAAAAAUUUGAUGAUAUUUCGUUGUUUGAGGGAAUGCUACUGAUAAUGAGAUAGAAGAAGAUUUUUCUCCUGUUUGUGAAGGUUGAUUCAACGAGACAUCGCCAACACGCCAAGGAUUCUGUAACAAUCCUUACCCCUGAUGAAUAUUAUGUGUUAAAGUAAUAGAAAAUUAGGCUAAAGUAAACAAAGUAGCCUUAAAAGUAAAGUAAAUUUUAGAUAAUGGAGGCUUUUGUUAGCCCUUGAGAAGAAAUAAUGUGUCAGAAAGAAUCACUUUAUAACAAACAUACAUGAUUUAGGAUUUAAGGUUUGGAAUUUUACGUUGGAUGCAUUGUAAAAUUAGGUAUAAUUAUCAUUUGUUUUGUUCUCUUAGAUUUGACAUUAUUACACUUCUUAUUCUGGAUAGUUAGCUUGUGUAGUAUACCAAGUAUAAACUUUGUAUUGUAACAUAGUCCAUCCUAUUCCCUAUUGAUAAAAGUUAUCAAUGUAGUUGUACAACUAUUUUGCUUUGGAAAUUUUGAUGUGUUAUUUAAGAUCUCA